Camelus dromedarius (Arabian camel) is the source of this 1259-nucleotide long non-coding RNA. RefSeq lists it as uncharacterized. The record is from RefSeq and is a predicted model, not a curated record. Lineage: Eukaryota; Metazoa; Chordata; Mammalia; Artiodactyla; Camelidae. The transcript has 3 exons.
CACUUCCUUUCCUUAACCACCUACUCUGUGCCGCCAGCACGGCACUACCCUUCACAGAACAGCUUAUAAUUGUGUGCAUUCCCUUCUUCUGUCGUUUAAUUCAAUCAUCACAUCCACAUUAUGAAGUAGGAACUGUACCACCCCCAUUUUACAGAUGAUGAAACUGAGGCUCAGAGGGCAAAACAGACGGCACAAGAUUACCUAGCUGGUAAACAGCGGAGCCAGGAUCUGAACCUGUUUCUGUCUGACUCUGCCUGUGUUCUUUUUAUGAACGAUCACACUGUCGGAUUCAAGGCCAAACAAUCCCAGGUGGAGAUUUCUUCAUCCGUGGCAAGGCACUGUGACCAAGGAGACAAGUAUGACGUGACUACAAAGCAGAUUCAGUUCCUGGAAAUGCUUACAAAAUGAUUCCUGACACUGGGAGGAGAUAGUUAAAAAAGGAAGAAAAGACGACGAAAAAUUACAAACAUACAUCGAUAAAGGACGAAGGUGGAAAGAAAGAGAAUAGACAAAAGAAAAGAAAGAACUAAAAGAGAGGGUGGGGGAAAGACUUUAAUGGGCCCCAAUUCAAGGAACGUUAUCAAGUUCUCAGCAUCUGCAAUUCACAAGCCGCUCGCGGGUCGGGGCGGCGCAGACCCCGCCCCUUUCUCGGGUGUCGGACGCUCAUUGGUGCGGGCGGCAGUCGCCGACCGGUGACUGCCCGAGGAAAGGUUGCCUGGGACACGCAUCCCUGUGUGAACGCAUGACGUCCCACCCUGGCGCCAGGCUGUCUGGGGCUGAGUCUUAGAUCAACACAGCUGUGGGACCGGGACCCACAGCUGGGCAAAGGAGCGGAUUCCUCAACAAAAAAUAGGAUUGUGAGAAAAGUUCUGAAACAAAAACAGCGCAGACAAAAGCCUUAAUGACAUCCUUUCAUAAAAAUAAAAAAUGCAAGAGGGGGGAAAAAGCUGGUAAAAGGAGCAGAACUGGGAACAGAAAGUUCAGAGGCAUUUGGAAUAAGAGACUGAGGCCCCGCCACCGCUAAACAAGUUGCAGAAGGCCUGAACUAGCCUUCCAGUCCGCUGUUGGAAAAAGAAGUCUUUGGGGUUCAAACUUUAUUCAGUGUUCUCAACCGUAACCUGUUUCUUUCAGAAUUAGAAUCUUACAUUGAAGAGGAGAGGUCAUUUGCUUAGAGGUCAUUUGCUCCCCCCUCCCUCAAUUUUACAGAAAAUGAAGCCCAGGAAGGAAGGAAAUUCCUCCAAGGCCACAAUGCAAGUUAU